UUGAACGCUGGCGGCAUGGCUAAAACAUGCAAGUCGAACGAGAACCCCGCAAGGGGUGAAAGUGGCGGAAGGGCGAGUAAUAGUAUCGAACGUACCCCGAGGUGGGGGAUAGGUCGGGGAAACCCGGCGUAAUACCCCAUGAUCUCUAAGGAGCAAAGCCUUGUGCGCCUUGGGAGCGGCGAUAUUCCUAUCAGGUAGUUGGCGGGGUAACGGCCCACCAAGCCUAUGACGGGUAGCCGGUGUGAGAGCACGGCCGGCCGCAUCGGGACUGAGACACUGCCCGGACUCCUACGGGAGGCUGCAGUAACGAAUAUUCCGCAAUGGGCGCAAGCCUGACGGAGCAAUGCCGCGUGCAGGAUGAAGCGGUUUUGCCGUGUAAACUGCUGUCAGGGGACAGAAACACUGAUCGUCCCCAGAGGAAGAGACGGCUAACCCUGU
RNAcentral lists this ribosomal RNA (438 nucleotides) under uncultured bacterium. RNAcentral's name for it is "partial 16S ribosomal RNA". It matches the Rfam family "Bacterial small subunit ribosomal RNA", at positions 29 to 506 of the family's 1533-position model. The record is from RNAcentral.